GAUGAACGCUGGCGGCGUGCCUAAUACAUGCAAGUCGAGCGGACGGACGAGAAGCUUGCUUUUCUGAUGUUAGCGGCGGACGGGUGAGUCACACGUGGAUCCCCUCCCUAUCAUACUGGUAUCACUUCGUAAAACCGGCGCUAAUACCGUAUAAUCUUUUGAACCGCAUUGUUCAAAAGUGAAAGACGGUCUUGCUGUCACUUCUCGAUGGAUCCGGGCUGCAUUAGCUAGUUGGUACGGUAACGGCUUACCAAGGCAACGAGGCAUAGCCGACCUGAGAGAGGGAUAGGCCACCUUGGAGGGUAGACACGGUCAAGAGUACUAAGGGAGGCAGCAGAAGGGAACGGUCGGCAAUGGGCGAAAGUAUGACGGAGCAACGGCGCGUGAGUGACGAAGGCCUCCGGAGCGGAAAGAUCGGUUAUGAGGGAAGAACAUAUUUGGAAGGAACCGAGGAGAGAGUGACGGUACCUAGUAAGAAAGCAACGGCUAACUACGUG
This 497-nucleotide ribosomal RNA is filed under the name uncultured bacterium. RNAcentral describes it as "partial 16S ribosomal RNA". It matches the Rfam family "Bacterial small subunit ribosomal RNA", at positions 28 to 507 of the family's 1533-position model. The record is from RNAcentral.